RNAcentral lists this non-coding RNA (535 nucleotides) under Pan troglodytes (chimpanzee). The record is from RNAcentral. Lineage: Eukaryota; Metazoa; Chordata; Mammalia; Primates; Hominidae.
UUUAAUUAAAAAUAUGACACAUUUGAUAGUUUAGAUAUGAAAUAAUACAACAUAUGCAAUCAAAGAGUCUGAUUUUUAUACCUACGAGAUCCCUAGUUUGACACCUCAGAGACAACUGACGCUGGGAUAUUGUGUGUGUUCUUCUGGAAAUUCUAUGCCUUUGUAAGAACGUUUUCUCGUCUGAGGGCAGUUUGGUCACAUUGAUCAGAUAUACAAUGUAUGUGCAUUUUAAUCCAGCAGCCACACGUGUAGAUGUGUGAGUAUGUGGGAAUAAAGAGAUAUCAUCUGUGGUGCGUUUCUUCUUGGGUUCCUUGCGGCCUAAAUAAUUGCUAACGCCCCACGUGUUCUGGAAAAACAUAAGCUAAGCCCAGGAGCCAGGCACCUGAUGCCACGCUAAACACACAGGAGUCUCCUCUGCAUCUCCUCCCCCACCAGAAAUGGGGAGUCCCUGUGGACAGUCACAUCCCACUAAUUCAUCCUCUUUCCUUGAACCACUUCUCAUAAUGUACUCAGAUGUAGAUAAAUUUUAAAAAAU